RNAcentral lists this ribosomal RNA (233 nucleotides) under uncultured bacterium. RNAcentral's name for it is "partial 16S ribosomal RNA". The record is from RNAcentral.
CUGCUGCCUUCCGUAGGAGUCUGGGCCGUGUCUCAGUCCCAAUGUGGCCGGCCAACCUCUCAGUCCGGCUACUGAUCGUCGCCUUGGUGGGCCGUUACCCCGCCAACUAGCUAAUCAGACGCGAGUCCAUCUCAGAGCGAUAAAUCUUUGAUGCCCAGUGCCAUGCGACACAGACAUAUUANGCGGUAUUAGCAGCUGUUUCCAACUGUUAUUCCCCACUCCAAGGCAGGUUA